UGACAUUCGAUUGAGAGUGUUCUGUGUUCCAUUUGUUUAUGUUUUUAUUCUUUGUUUAUAUAAUUUAUAACCUAGACAGUUUUGUUUUUAAAUAAAACUGAAACUGUGUCUAAACUGGUCUAAACUGGUCUAAACCAAUGCUAAACUAAAAUGGAUAAUAUUCUUGAAGAAUUUUUGUUUGGGGACGAAAUUAGCAAAUGCCGUUAUACAUUUAGCAGAUGUACCUACCUCAAAUUAUUCCAGAAGGAUGAGAUGAAAUUAAAUAUAUAUAAACCAUAAUUCAAUAUCCAAUUUAGAGAACAUUUUCCUAUGUCCAGAACUACUUUCCAGGAACUAUUUAAUUGUAUUGGUCAUAUCCACCAAUUUGAAAACAGAAUAAUUCUAUUGGAAAAAAAUUAAUGUUUAUGAUUUGGAUGCUAAGUAAACCAGAGAAUUUGUUGCUGGGGAUAUGUUUGGUUUGCCAAAGAGCUCUGGACAUAAGAUUUUCACCCAAAUAAUAUAGAAUUACAAAAAAUUGGAAAUAACUAAUCUUGAAUAUCAAUGUGUAUAUUGAGUUUAAUUUUAUUGUAAAUAUUCUAUAAUAUAAUUUUAUUGUAAAUAUUGUAUUAACCCAUUUGUGGACACAUCUUCAUAUGCAGACAGUAAUUUCCCUUUGUAAGUACAUGCAUAUAUAGUCGUAUCUGCGAAUGGGUUAAUUGUAAAUCGUAAUCAAUAAAAAUUUUUUGUGAAUCAAUAAAAAACUGGUUUGUUUGAAAAUAAAUGUAGUACAAAUGUG
RNAcentral lists this long non-coding RNA (775 nucleotides) under Diabrotica virgifera virgifera (western corn rootworm). Its description in RNAcentral is "uncharacterized LOC126887012". Lineage: Eukaryota; Metazoa; Arthropoda; Insecta; Coleoptera; Chrysomelidae. The record is from RNAcentral.